This 230-nucleotide ribosomal RNA is filed under the name uncultured bacterium. RNAcentral's name for it is "partial 16S ribosomal RNA". It matches the Rfam family "Bacterial small subunit ribosomal RNA", at positions 99 to 334 of the family's 1533-position model. The record is from RNAcentral.
CGGACGGGUGAGUAAUGUCUGGGAAACUGCCCGAUGGAGGGGAUAACUACUGGAACGGUAGCUAAUACCGCAUAACGUCGCAAGACCAAAGAGGGGAACCUUCGGGCCUCUUGCCAUCGGAUGUGCCCAGAUGGGAUUAGCUAGUAGGUGGGGUAACGGCUCACCUAGGCGACGAUCCCUAGCUGGUCUGAGAGGAUGACCAGCCACACUGGAACUGAGACACGGUCCAG